GACAAACCAGGAGGAAGGGGGGGAUGACGUCAAGUCGUCAUGCCCCUUAUGACAUGGGCUACACACGUGCUACAAUGGACGGUACAACGAGAAGCGAACCUGCGAAGGCAAGCGGAUCUGUUAAAGCCGUUCUCAGUUCGGACUGUAGGCUGCAACUCGCCUACACGAAGCUGGAAUCGCUAGUAAUCGCGGAUCAGCACGCCGCGGUGAAUACGUUCCCGGGCCUUGUACACACCGCCCGUCACACCAUGAGAGUCUGUAACACCCAAAGCCGGUGGGAUAACCUUUAUAGGAGUCAGCGUCUAAGUAGACCGAGU
This 317-nucleotide ribosomal RNA is filed under the name Lactobacillus johnsonii. RNAcentral describes it as "bacterial SSU rRNA". It matches the Rfam family "Bacterial small subunit ribosomal RNA", at positions 1156 to 1472 of the family's 1533-position model. Lineage: Bacteria; Bacillati; Bacillota; Bacilli; Lactobacillales; Lactobacillaceae. The record is from RNAcentral.